RNAcentral lists this unclassified non-coding RNA (565 nucleotides) under Hevea brasiliensis (rubber tree). The record is from RNAcentral. Lineage: Eukaryota; Viridiplantae; Streptophyta; Magnoliopsida; Malpighiales; Euphorbiaceae.
UGAAUAAUACAUAAAAUUAAAGUUGUAUCUGAUUGAUUUGUCUCAAUUACACAAAAGAGGCUAUAGCUAUUUGAUCAUAACACAUUGGCAAUAAUGAUUAAUUUUGUGCCAUCCAUCAAGCAAGAAAUCCAAGUUUUUCACCAUUCUUCUUUGCCAAUCGAAUUAAUCCUUGCCUUUGCUUCUGAUCUGCUCCUAUUGACUUGCAAAACUCUGUGAUUACCUGAGAGUGUAAAGCAAUAGCUUUGCCCCUAAGUUGAUUGAAUCUUUUUUUGCCAACAAUAUUCCUAGUGAUAACAACAAUUGGUGCAAAUAAUCCUUUUCCAUCAUUAACAUUACCCAUCAUUAUCCUUGAUCUCACUGCCUUUCCAAAUUUAACAUUCAUUAAUGGUUGCACUUUCCUCAUAAACUUACCAUAAUCUUCACCACUAACACAUGAAGAAAAUGAAGUUGUUGCAAUUGAACUUGUAAUUGCCAUUCAAAUAACCUUUUUUCUUAGGACUACUAGUAGUAAAUAAUAUUCUUGAAUAUAAAAGUGAUGAUAAUGGAGCUAAGGGGGGUUUUUGAG